Long non-coding RNA from Dermacentor andersoni, 920 nucleotides. RefSeq lists it as uncharacterized. The record is from RefSeq and is a predicted model, not a curated record. NCBI's taxonomy places the organism in Eukaryota, Metazoa, Arthropoda, Arachnida, Ixodida, Ixodidae.
CGAUUCGUCACACCGGACACAUCUUGGCGUCACCUUUGUGUAUACUGCUACCAUAGGUAACAUAGGAAAUGACAAGGGUGGACACUCGAGCCGUUUCGCGGCCGAGCUAUGGAGAUUCGCCGAUUCCACUAGGUGGCAGGGCACAAGAAACACGUGGCAGCGGUCGUGGCUUGGCAGGCGGCACGAUCGAACACGUGCGAAGCCCAGCAUCUAUAGGUGUUCUGCGGCCCAGCCGGGCCCCGUCGCCGGGCUCGCGGCGUCGUUGUACUACGGUAGUUGUACUGUUAAAUGCGCCCGAGGAUCGUUGCUGGGUUCUUCUGUUAGCGUCCCACACUAGUGCUUCGUCGCCGUUUCAUGGAAUCUCCGCUAUUCCUUCCUCAAAAUACACUCUACAGCCAAAAGACACCAUGCAUAUUCAAGGGACAAUUUCCAAGUAUCCGAAGACGAUUGCAGGACUUCGAAGACUGCAUGCAGAUGAAGGCCCCCAACACAGUCGAAGUACUUAAUUGACUGAGAUGCCAAUAUCUUGCCGUUGUUUAAUUAGGAAAGCACUGGAUUGCACAUUCGAGAUGAGGAUAUUGGUGCGUUCCUAAUUAUUUUUGUAGCCAUUUUAUUUUGGCACGCAACCAUUCACAUAAUUUUGCUACCUUAAUUCACCUUCCUUCGCAGAAGUACAAGAAAAAGCGUCAUAUUUAUUUCUUUUAAAACAAUACCAUAUUGAGUAAAUUGCUGGCGUGUCUGUCUUUUUUCAUUCUUUGGAUAGUUGCAACACGUCUUGUGUGUGUUAUGCUUGUGUGAAGUUAUUGUCAUCACGUCAUUAAUUUCCGACUAUUCUCUAUUACUUACAUUUCGCAGUAUUUUGCCGUUUUAAUGUGUCUGCCACUUUUCUCAGUCUUGCUGCAAUAAAUUGUUUUCUGCUA